Molecule: ribosomal RNA, 3071 nt
Filed under: Campylobacter jejuni
Lineage: Bacteria; Pseudomonadati; Campylobacterota; Epsilonproteobacteria; Campylobacterales; Campylobacteraceae
Description: 23S ribosomal RNA
Rfam family: Bacterial large subunit ribosomal RNA
Source: RNAcentral
AAAAAAGGUAAGCUACUAAGAGCGAAUGGUGGAUGCCUUGACUGGUAAAGGCGAUGAAGGACGUACUAGACUGCGAUAAGCUACGGGGAGCUGUCAAGAAGCUUUGAUCCGUAGAUUUCCGAAUGGGGCAACCCAAUGUAUAGAGAUAUACAUUACCUAUAUAGGAGCGAACGAGGGGAAUUGAAACAUCUUAGUACCCUCAGGAAAAGAAAUCAAUAGAGAUUGCGUCAGUAGCGGCGAGCGAAAGCGCAAGAGGGCAAACCCAGUGCUUGCACUGGGGGUUGUAGGACUGCAAUGUGCAAGAGGUAAGUUUAGCAGAACAUUCUGGAAAGUAUAACCAUAGAGGGUGAUAGUCCCGUAUGCGAAAAACAAACCUUAGCUAGCAGUAUCCUGAGUAGGGCGGGACACGAGGAAUCCUGUCUGAAUCCGGGUCGACCACGAUCCAACCCUAAAUACUAAUACCAGAUCGAUAGUGCACAAGUACCGUGAGGGAAAGGUGAAAAGAACUGAGGUGAUCAGAGUGAAAUAGAACCUGAAACCAUUUGCUUACAAUCAUUCAGAGCCCUAUGUAGCAAUACAGGGUGAUGGACUGCCUUUUGCAUAAUGAGCCUGCGAGUUGUGGUGUCUGGCAAGGUUAAGCAAACGCGAAGCCGUAGCGAAAGCGAGUCUGAAUAGGGCGCUUAGUCAGAUGCUGCAGACCCGAAACGAAGUGAUCUAUCCAUGAGCAAGUUGAAGCUAGUGUAAGAACUAGUGGAGGACUGAACCCAUAGGCGUUGAAAAGCCCCGGGAUGACUUGUGGAUAGGGGUGAAAGGCCAAUCAAACUUCGUGAUAGCUGGUUCUCUCCGAAAUAUAUUUAGGUAUAGCGUUGUGUCGUAAUAUAAGGGGGUAGAGCACUGAAUGGGCUAGGGCAUACACCAAUGUACCAAACCCUAUCAAACUCCGAAUACCUUAUAUGUAAUCACAGCAGUCAGGCGGCGAGUGAUAAAAUCCGUCGUCAAGAGGGAAACAACCCAGACUACCAGCUAAGGUCCCUAAAUCUUACUUAAGUGGAAAACGAUGUGAAGUUACUUAAACAACCAGGAGGUUGGCUUAGAAGCAGCCAUCCUUUAAAGAAAGCGUAAUAGCUCACUGGUCUAGUGAUUUUGCGCGGAAAAUAUAACGGGGCUAAAGUAAGUACCGAAGCUGUAGACUUGCACACAACUUAGAUUAUUUAAGUUUAGAAUAUGAGAAACUAAGUUAUAUGUUUAGUUAUAUUUUUACUGAUUUUUAUAGAGUAAAGAUAGAAAUAAAACUUAGUAAAAUCAGUAAAAAUAUUCUUAGACUAAAGUUAAGUAGUUUAAGUUGUGUGCAAGUGGUAGGAGAGCGUUCUAUUUGCGUCGAAGGUAUACCGGUAAGGAGUGCUGGAGCGAAUAGAAGUGAGCAUGCAGGCAUGAGUAGCGAUAAUUAAUGUGAGAAUCAUUAACGCCGUAAACCCAAGGUUUCCUACGCGAUGCUCGUCAUCGUAGGGUUAGUCGGGUCCUAAGUCGAGUCCGAAAGGGGUAGACGAUGGCAAAUUGGUUAAUAUUCCAAUACCAACAUUAGUGUGCGAUGGAAGGACGCUUAGGGCUAAGGGGGCUAGCGGAUGGAAGUGCUAGUCUAAGGUCGUAGGAGGUUGUACAGGCAAAUCCGUAUAACAAUACUCCGAGAACUGAAAGGCUUUUUGAAGUCUUCGGAUGGAUAGAAGAACCCCUGAUGCCGUCGAGCCAAGAAAAGUUUCUAAGUUUAGCUAAUGUUGCCCGUACCGUAAACCGACACAGGUGGGUGGGAUGAGUAUUCUAAGGCGCGUGGAAGAACUCUCUUUAAGGAACUCUGCAAAAUAGCACCGUAUCUUCGGUAUAAGGUGUGGUUAGCUUUGUAUUAGGAUUUACUCCGAAAGCAAGGAAACUUACAACAAAGAGUCCCUCCCGACUGUUUACCAAAAACACAGCACUCUGCUAACUCGUAAGAGGAUGUAUAGGGUGUGACGCCUGCCCGGUGCUCGAAGGUUAAUUGAUGGGGUUAGCAUUAGCGAAGCUCUUGAUCGAAGCCCGAGUAAACGGCGGCCGUAACUAUAACGGUCCUAAGGUAGCGAAAUUCCUUGUCGGUUAAAUACCGACCUGCAUGAAUGGCGUAACGAGAUGGGAGCUGUCUCAAAGAGGGAUCCAGUGAAAUUGUAGUGGAGGUGAAAAUUCCUCCUACCCGCGGCAAGACGGAAAGACCCCGUGGACCUUUACUACAGCUUGACACUGCUACUUGGAUAAGAAUGUGCAGGAUAGGUGGGAGGCUUUGAGUAUAUGACCCCAGUUGUAUAUGAGCCAUUGUUGAGAUACCACUCUUUCUUAUUUGGGUAGCUAACCAGCUUGAGUUAUCCUCAAGUGGGACAAUGUCUGGUGGGUAGUUUGACUGGGGCGGUCGCCUCCCAAAUAAUAACGGAGGCUUACAAAGGUUGGCUCAGAACGGUUGGAAAUCGUUCGUAGAGUAUAAAGGUAUAAGCCAGCUUAACUGCAAGACAUACAAGUCAAGCAGAGACGAAAGUCGGUCUUAGUGAUCCGGUGGUUCUGUGUGGAAGGGCCAUCGCUCAAAGGAUAAAAGGUACCCCGGGGAUAACAGGCUGAUCUCCCCCAAGAGCUCACAUCGACGGGGAGGUUUGGCACCUCGAUGUCGGCUCAUCGCAUCCUGGGGCUGGAGCAGGUCCCAAGGGUAUGGCUGUUCGCCAUUUAAAGCGGUACGCGAGCUGGGUUCAGAACGUCGUGAGACAGUUCGGUCCCUAUCUGCCGUGGGCGUAAGAAGAUUGAAGAGAUUUGACCCUAGUACGAGAGGACCGGGUUGAACAAACCACUGGUGUAGCUGUUGUUCUGCCAAGAGCAUCGCAGCGUAGCUAAGUUUGGAAAGGAUAAACGCUGAAAGCAUCUAAGCGUGAAGCCAACUCUAAGAUGAAUCUUCUCUAAGCUCUCUAGAAGACUACUAGUUUGAUAGGCUGGGUGUGUAAUGGAUGAAAGUCCUUUAGCUGACCAGUACUAAUAGAGCGUUUGGCUUAUCUUUAAUAAAGCAU